CAGAAGGUCCGGGCGUUAUCCGGAUUUAUUGGGUUUAAAGGGAGCGUAGGCCGGAGAUUAAGCGUGUUGUGAAAUGUAGACGCUCAACGUCUGCACUGCAGCGCGAACUGGUUUCCUUGAGUACGCACAAAGUGGGCGGAAUUCGUGGUGUAGCGGUGAAAUGCUUAGAUAUCACGAAGAACUCCGAUUGCGAAGGCAGCUCACUGGAGCGCAACUGACGCUGAAGCUCGAAAGUGCGGGUAUCGA
RNAcentral lists this ribosomal RNA (246 nucleotides) under uncultured bacterium. RNAcentral's name for it is "partial 16S ribosomal RNA". It matches the Rfam family "Bacterial small subunit ribosomal RNA", at positions 526 to 771 of the family's 1533-position model. The record is from RNAcentral.